CAAAACCCAAAUAAUAAGAUGAAAGGUUAAAGAAAAUAAACAUGAAGAGUUGCAGCCAACGUGAGUUUGAGAAAAGAAGAAGAAGAAGAAGAAGAACUUGAGGUUUUUCAUCAAUUUUCCCACAUUUGGGAUUCAAAUAAUUUUAAGGCAAGUGUUCUAACCCCAUCCCAUAGUAACCUUAAUCUCUGUUUCCAUUUUUAUUCUGCAAAAUUUGAAAGAUUUCAACUGAGAACCAG
RNAcentral lists this long non-coding RNA (236 nucleotides) under Musa acuminata (dwarf banana). Its description in RNAcentral is "long non-coding RNA (MACU_LNC007376)". The record is from RNAcentral. Lineage: Eukaryota; Viridiplantae; Streptophyta; Magnoliopsida; Zingiberales; Musaceae.